UUACUUCUGGGGUAUUUGUCAGGCUCUUAUUUUGAACCUACAGUUAAUUUACGGGAGUUCAAGUACCUAGAUGCAAGAUUGUCUUAUAAGUCCGAGAGGCCAGGACACAUAUGCAUCAGUGAGGACACCCACCUAUCGAGAGAUAGGUGUCAAAAGAAGGGCAACGGUAUUUUGGAAGUUCG
RNAcentral lists this non-coding RNA (182 nucleotides) under Clostridium paridis. RNAcentral describes it as "6S / SsrS RNA". It matches the Rfam family "6S / SsrS RNA". Rfam says of the family: E. coli 6S RNA was the first non coding RNA to be sequenced, but its function was unknown until recently. It consists of 184 nucleotides that fold into an extended hairpin structure with a large single-stranded internal bulge. The 6S RNA specifically associates with RNA polymerase holoenzyme containing the sigma70 specificity factor. Lineage: Bacteria; Bacillati; Bacillota; Clostridia; Eubacteriales; Clostridiaceae. The record is from Rfam by way of RNAcentral.